Molecule: ribosomal RNA, 463 nt
Filed under: uncultured bacterium
Lineage: Bacteria
Description: partial 16S ribosomal RNA
Rfam family: Bacterial small subunit ribosomal RNA
Source: RNAcentral
GACGAACGCUGGCGGCGUGCUUAACACAUGCAAGUCGAACGGAAAGGCCCUGCUUGCAGGGUACUCGAGUGGCGAACGGGUGAGUAACACGUGGGUGAUCUGCCCUGCACUUCGGGAUAAGCCUGGGAAACUGGUCUAAUACCGGAUAGGAGCCAUUUUUAGUGUGAUGGUUGGAAAGUUUUUUCGGUGUAGGAUGAGCUCGCGGCCUAUCAGCUUGUUGGUGGGGUAAUGGCCUACCAAGGCGGCGACGGGUAGCCGGCCUGAGAGGGUGGACGGCCACAUUGGGACUGAGAUACGGCCCAGACUCCUACGGGAGGCAGCAGUGGGGAAUAUUGCACAAUGGGCGCAAGCCUGAUGCAGCGACGCCGCGUGGGGGAUGACGGCCUUCGGGUUGUAAACUCCUUUCGCUAGGGACGAAGCUUUUGUGACGGUACCUAGAUAAGAAGCACCGGCUAACUACGUG